Molecule: long non-coding RNA, 1470 nt
Organism: Brassica rapa (field mustard)
Lineage: Eukaryota; Viridiplantae; Streptophyta; Magnoliopsida; Brassicales; Brassicaceae
Source: RefSeq, a predicted model, not a curated record
AUGCCACAUCAGCGCCAGGUCAGAAAGUCGUUUCUCCAGGAGUUGACACGUGUCAAUUAUUCUAAACACACCGUAUCACUAACACGAUUGUAUCAUGGGCUUCGUCUGCUGUUGUGCGAUUGGGUUUUGUAAUGGGAAAUAGAUCUGGCCCGUAUAGAUUGAUGUCACCUCUAACCCUAGAACGUCUGAGGCAAAGAAACCAGGACCGUCGCUCCCCUCCGUGCGGUGGCGAGGCACUGACGUUUAAGCUUCUUUCCACGACCUGAAACGCUCUGAUUUAUGUCUUCGUCUUUAUUCUAAUUGAUUCGUUCUCCACGAUCUGAGAGGCGGUGUAGUUCAGUAUAAAUAUAUGUUAGAUUCCUCUCCUUGAACACAUCUUAUGCCCGUGACGGGUGAGAUUAUAAUUUCUUUCGUCAGAUCAGCUGCGGUCGUAAUCUCUCUCUCUCUCUCUCUUUUUGGUUGUAGUUAUGAUGUGGUUAGUCUAAUGACGUUUCAGGGCUGCUACACGAGAUGCUUGGAUCUACCAAAACAAGAGAUUCAAAAGCUUGGAAGGUGUUUUUGCAUUAGUUCACUUUUUCCUUGACUUUCUCCAUGUGGGAGUGGAAAACAGAAGGUCGUUUCAUCAGAUUUGUUCAUUGCCAACAAAAAAAAAAAAAGUUGUGUACGUAACACCUUUUGGAAAAUGUCUUCUGCAGCGAUUCUUCAUGUUUUAGCGGAUUUCCUGUUCCUAAACAUAUCCAGUCCUUUUUUUGUUGACUAUAGGAGGCCAACAAUAUCUACAGAAAAGGAAAAAUUUUAGUUCUCAAAUGAAAGCACUUGCAAACCAUUCCCAUUUCCUAGAGUUUACUCAUACAACAUCACCGGAGAAGAGAUAGGAGGGAGAUGAGGGUUAAGAAUGGAUACAUCGAUGGUAAUGGCAAGAAGUUCUCAUGUGGUGAUUGGUGCCAAGAUUAAUCGGAUACAAGAGCUGACGGACAAUAUAUUGCACGCCAACUUCAGGUCACCUUUACACUGACAAACACGUAAAUCUAAAUAGGGAGUACACAUGUCUCAUCCUCACCAAUCUCUUCCAUCGCACUGCUCUAUUAGCGAGAAUGGUAUAAGAGGCUGAUCAUGAGUUUUAUUCUUCGUCAGCCCCAAAAGGUUGCUUGACUCAGUUUUUGGGAUCUUGACAAAAUCUGUCUAAGCAACCUAAAAGAAAGCACGCAAGUGGAGGUUUCAUUAUUUUGCAAUUUAUGAUGACUUAGAUUCUGGUGAUUGUGUUAACUUUUAGCUUCUUACUGAUUUGAGUUCGUAUAUGGUCAUUUUUCAGUUUUUACUGUUAGUCUGUAUAUUUAUUAGUCUAUCACCUCUUAUGUGAUUUGAGACUUGGUCGUCCGAGAACAGAAAGUCUUCUUCCAAUUCUUCUAAUAUUUUUACACCAUUGUGCAUUUGUAUUUAUUUCCAAAGUGAUGAUGUGUAGAUUCAAUC